GGGCCUCUAGCUCAAUUGGCAGAGCAGCUGACUCUUAAUCAGCCGGUUCUCGGUUCGAGUCCGAGGGGGCUCA
RNAcentral lists this transfer RNA (73 nucleotides) under Chloroflexota bacterium. RNAcentral's name for it is "Chloroflexi bacterium (rhizosphere metagenome) tRNA-Lys". It matches the Rfam family "tRNA". Rfam says of the family: Transfer RNA (tRNA) molecules are approximately 80 nucleotides in length. Their secondary structure includes four short double-helical elements and three loops (D, anti-codon, and T loops). Further hydrogen bonds mediate the characteristic L-shaped molecular structure. tRNAs have two regions of fundamental functional importance: the anti-codon, which is responsible for specific mRNA codon recognition, and the 3' end, to which the tRNAs corresponding amino acid is attached (by aminoacyl-tRNA synthetases). tRNAs cope with the degeneracy of the genetic code in two manners: having more than one tRNA (with a specific anti-codon) for a particular amino acid; and 'wobble' base-pairing, i.e. permitting non-standard base-pairing at the 3rd anti-codon position. Lineage: Bacteria; Bacillati; Chloroflexota. The record is from RNAcentral.